UACGUAGGCAGCGAGCGUUGUUCGGAAUUACUGGGCGUAAAGGGUGUGUAGGCGGUUCUUUAAGUUUGGUGUGAAAUCUCCCGGCUCAACCGGGAGGGUGCGCCGAAAACUGGGGGACUAGAGUGCGGGAUGGGAGAGUAGAAUUCCAGGUGUAGCGGUGAAAUGCGUAGAUAUCUGGAGGAACACCGGUGGCGAAGGCGACAUCCUGGACCGGUAUUGACGCUGAGGCGCGAAAGCCAGGGGAGCAAACGGG
Molecule: ribosomal RNA, 253 nt
Filed under: uncultured bacterium
Lineage: Bacteria
Description: partial 16S ribosomal RNA
Rfam family: Bacterial small subunit ribosomal RNA
Source: RNAcentral